GAGUCAGCAAAGUUGGUCAUGCUUCCGUAUGUACUGGCUUUACUGGUUCCUCCUUCUUGAAGAACUGUGAUGUCAUUUACUUGGUGUUGCAGGGAAACAGGACUGUUACUUUGAAAAAAUUAGAGUGUUUAAAGCAGGCUAACGCUUGAAUACAUUAGCAUGGAAUAAUGAAAUAGGACGUUUGAUCCUAUUUUGUUGGUUUCUAGGAUUGACGUA
RNAcentral lists this ribosomal RNA (216 nucleotides) under uncultured Glomus. RNAcentral describes it as "partial small subunit ribosomal RNA". The stretch from base 39 to 216 matches the Rfam family "Eukaryotic small subunit ribosomal RNA", at positions 685 to 864 of the family's 1831-position model. Lineage: Eukaryota; Fungi; Glomeromycota; Glomeromycetes; Glomerales; Glomeraceae. The record is from RNAcentral.